UUUAUUCAUCAUACAGUUUAA
Molecule: non-coding RNA, 21 nt
Filed under: Caenorhabditis elegans
Lineage: Eukaryota; Metazoa; Nematoda; Chromadorea; Rhabditida; Rhabditidae
Source: RNAcentral